RNAcentral lists this microRNA precursor (130 nucleotides) under Marmota monax (woodchuck). The record is from RNAcentral. Lineage: Eukaryota; Metazoa; Chordata; Mammalia; Rodentia; Sciuridae.
GUGUGUGUGUCUGUCUCUCUCUCUCUCUCUCUCUCUCUCUCUCUCUCUAUAUAUAUAUAUAUAUAUAUAUAUAUAUAUAGAGAGAGAGAGAGAGAGAGAGAGUAUAUAUAGAGAGAGACCAACAGAGACA